CCUACGGGAGGCAGCAGUGGGGAAUAUUGGGCAAUGGGCGCAAGCCUGACCCAGCAAUGCCGCGUGAAGGAAGAAGGCUUUCGGGUUGUUAACUUCUUUGACAGGGGAAGAGCAGAAGACGGUACCCUGAAAACAGGCCACGGCUAACUACGUGCCAGCAGCCGCGGUAAUACGAAGGUGGCAAGCGUUGUCCGGAUUUAUUGGGUUUAAGGGGUGCGCAGGCGGAGGUGCAAGUCAGCGGUCAAAUUUCGGGGCUCAACCCAGAAGUGCCGUUGAAACUGCAUCCCUUGAGUGCGCGAGAGGUAUGCGGAAUGCGUGGUGUAGCGGUGAAAUGCAUAGAUAUCACGCAGAACUCCGAUUGCGAAGGCAGCAUACCGGCGCGCAACUGACGCUCAUGCACGAAAGCGUGGGUAUCGAACAGGAUUAGAUACCCCGGUAGUC
This 441-nucleotide ribosomal RNA is filed under the name uncultured bacterium. RNAcentral's name for it is "partial 16S ribosomal RNA". It matches the Rfam family "Bacterial small subunit ribosomal RNA", at positions 338 to 795 of the family's 1533-position model. The record is from RNAcentral.